UACCUUGACGGUACCUAACCAAAAGGCCACGGCUAANUACGUGCCAGCAGCCGCGGUAAUAAGUAGGUGCCAAGCGUUGUCCGGAAUUAUUGGGCGUAAAGGGCUCGCAGGCGGUUUCUUAAGUUUGAUGUGAAAGCCCCCGGCUCAACCGGGGAGGGUCAUUGGAAACUGGGGAACUUGAGUGCAGAAGAGGAGAGUGGAAUUCCACGUGUAGCGGUGAAAUGCGUAGAGAUGUGGAGGAACACCAGUGGCGAAGGCGACUCUCUGGUCUGUAACUGACGCUGAGGAGCGAAAGCGUGGGGAGCGAACAGGAUUAGAUACCCUGGUAGUCCACGCCGUAAACGAUGAGUGCUAAGUGUUAGGGGGUUUCCGCCCCUUAGUGCUGCAGCUAACGCAUUAAGCACUCCGCCUGGGGAGUACGGUCGCAAGACUGAAACUCAAAGGAAUUGACGGGGGCCCGCACAAGCGGUGGAGCAUGUGGUUUAAUUCGAAGCAACGCGAAGAACCUUACCAGGUCUUGACAUCCUCUGACAAUCCUAGAGAUAGGACGUCCCCUUCGGGGGCAGAGUGACAGGUGGUGCAUGGUUGUCGUCAGCUCGUGUCGUGAGAUGUUGGGUUAAGUCCCGCAACGAGCGCAACCCUUGAUCUUAGUUGCCAGCAUUCAGUUGGGCACUCUAAGGUGACUGCCGGUGACAAACCGGAGGAAGGUGGGGAUGACGUCAAAUCAUCAUGCCCCUUAUGACCUGGGCUACACACGUGCUACAAUGGACAGAACAAAGGGCAGCGAAACCGCGAGGUUAAGCCAAUCCCACAAAUCUGUUCUCAGUUCGGAUCGCAGUCUGAACUCGACUGCGUGAAGCUGAAUC
RNAcentral lists this ribosomal RNA (866 nucleotides) under Bacillus amyloliquefaciens. RNAcentral's name for it is "bacterial SSU rRNA". It matches the Rfam family "Bacterial small subunit ribosomal RNA", at positions 465 to 1333 of the family's 1533-position model. The record is from RNAcentral. Lineage: Bacteria; Bacillati; Bacillota; Bacilli; Caryophanales; Bacillaceae.